This is a long non-coding RNA of Pezoporus flaviventris, 677 nucleotides long. RefSeq lists it as uncharacterized. The record is from RefSeq and is a predicted model, not a curated record. The transcript is spliced from 2 exons. Lineage: Eukaryota; Metazoa; Chordata; Aves; Psittaciformes; Psittacidae.
CUUAUUCCCAUUUUGUAUGCAUUUCCAUUUAUUUUACAAGGCAUUGUUCACACAAUGAUAACAAGGUACCAAUCCAAACAAUUCUGUAACAAUUAAAAAAGUAAACAUUUGUUGUGACCAUGUACAUUGAAUUGCACUUUUAAUACCAAGCAUUACACUUAUAUUUCCAUAUUAUACUUUAUAUAAUACGUGGAUUUGUUGCACAAGUACUGGUAGUAUGGAGUUGUUCUCAGUUAAAAGUCUGAUGUCGCUGUCAUGCUCUUCUUUCCUAACUCUUUAGGAUUUGCAAACUGGGACACACACAGAUGACAAAUGCAGCUCCAGAUCUAGAAAACUUCAUUGUAAUGGAGCCAGAGCUUUGAAGCUGCUCUCUGGUUUCAAUGUGCUAAAGUGAAUUCAUCUUGAAUGGCAGGCACUGAGGGAUUUGGACCAUGCCUGAUUAGACUCUUUUCUGCAUUCACAUGUCAGCUUUUCCCAGUUCAGAGAAGCCAGAAAAUCUUCCAUGGGAAAGCAGUAGUUCCCAAAGCUCAAGAGAGCUCCUGGCACAGGUAAAAAUAGCAUGAAAUACAUUCAGUAGCAAAGCAGUUGGAAUCCAGAAGUGGAGAACCCUGUAUUCCUGGAGGAUUAACCUUUACGUGUUAAGACAUGAUACUGAAAUAAAUUAUGUAAACUUCUGA